This 246-nucleotide ribosomal RNA is filed under the name uncultured bacterium. RNAcentral describes it as "partial 16S ribosomal RNA". It matches the Rfam family "Bacterial small subunit ribosomal RNA", at positions 57 to 305 of the family's 1533-position model. The record is from RNAcentral.
GCAAGUCGAACGCGAAAGCACUUCGGUGCAAGUAGAGUGGCGAAAGGGCGAGUAAUGCAUACCUAACGUACCUUCAGGUAAGGGAUAGCUCGGAGAAAUCCGUGGUAAUACCUUAUGACCCCGAUAGACCGCAUGGUUUGUCGGGCAAAGGCUUGCUGCCUGAAGAUCGGGGUAUGUCCUAUCAGCUUGUUGGUAAGGUAACGGCUUACCAAGGCUAAGACGGGUAGCGGGUGUGAGAGCAUGACC